ACGCAUCUUCAGGGCAGGGUGAAAUUCCCGAUCGGCGGUACAGUCCGCGAGCAGCGCGCCUUGGCGCGAUGUUGGAGCAUACGCUCAUGAACCGGUGAGACUCCGGUACCGACAGUUACAGUCUGGAUGGAAGAAGUUGCAG
RNAcentral lists this non-coding RNA (142 nucleotides) under Bifidobacterium biavatii. RNAcentral describes it as "FMN sequence". It matches the Rfam family "FMN riboswitch aptamer (RFN element)". From Rfam's summary of the family: The RFN element is a highly conserved domain that is found frequently in the 5'-untranslated regions of prokaryotic mRNAs that encode for flavin mononucleotide (FMN) biosynthesis and transport proteins. This element is a metabolite-dependent riboswitch that directly binds FMN in the absence of proteins. The record is from RNAcentral. Lineage: Bacteria; Bacillati; Actinomycetota; Actinomycetes; Bifidobacteriales; Bifidobacteriaceae. RNAcentral also lists the same sequence under 2 other names.